Molecule: long non-coding RNA, 1595 nt
Organism: Selaginella moellendorffii
Lineage: Eukaryota; Viridiplantae; Streptophyta; Lycopodiopsida; Selaginellales; Selaginellaceae
Exons: 6
Source: RefSeq, a predicted model, not a curated record
GCUUAGGGCUGGCGUUACAGCUCGCCGCAUUGCGCGAUCAAGCGAUCCACCCAUCGUGUCUUUGUUCUAGGGCUCCCAGCGAGAGAGAUAGCAGCAGAUUGGAGCAAUCGCGUUGGAUUGGAGGCGGGGUUCUCAUCUAUGGCACAGCUCUCUCGUAUCUACACGAUCGAUCUACGCCCGAGGGAUCGGCUCUAGUCGCAAUGUUGGCCGCGAUGCCGGCUCACGUCACGAGUUUUAGGACGAGAGUAGGCGCGAGCAAAGAUUUUCAUUUUCUUUUUCCGACACCUACAUUCGUUUCUACCCAGAAAAAAAGUUUCGUUUCUCUUUUGCAUGGAAACUUAACUGGCUCGGAGUGAUAUGGUGAUCAGUAGCCACAGUUUUGACUCCACUGUGCCUUGAUUCACGAGUAUAACUGGCCCUCGGUUUUCUUCACGUUUGGUUCGUUGGGAGUGGUCUGGUUUACAUUCUGGCAGAAAACCGUGAGUUCGCUCAUACUUUGCAUUACUUUUUUUUGUUUCUCAGGCAUAUAGCUCGCCUGUGGAAGAUAUCACACUUUCAGAGGAAGAGAUUGCCCCGGCUCUAUUUAAUUACAUGAAAGUUAAGUGAGAAAUAACAAGCUCGAGCGAAGAGGACGAAGAGCACAAAUCCAGUGAUUCAGGUUGUCACACCAGACAAUGGAGUGUGGUUUGCUCUCAAGCCCGCGGCCAACCAGAGUGAGGACUCGGUGCUUCCCGAUCAUAACACCCUACGUGAGAAUAACGUAAGACGAUUUCAACUCCACCGACUUCUCUAAACACGCAGAGGUAGGCAACUUCCCAUAUUGCUGGUCAAGAAGUACAUUGCGACGAAGCUAAACCUCGGCAAUGAAACCGACGUCGAACUGAAUUGCCGUGGCCCCAGGAGAAGGAGGAAGGUGAUGCAAUCCAUUGGUUUUCUUGGCCGGUAUUACACAGCUUAGCCAUGUCUGUUCGCCUUUUCUGUGUAUGAUGGCCCAGUCGGGAUAUUGGCGGUAAUUAACUAGUACUUCUGGCCGGAACUGAUACUAAGCUUGUAACAGGGAGUACUCUCCAAUACUUCCGGAGUUCUUGCUGGUGUCAUAGCAACAGCUGCAACAUGUUUUCGAUUUGGUUGUUACUUUUUCUUAGAGCUAUUUUUGUUCUCUCCAGGAGCAGCACAUUCAGCGAGUAGCGGACCGACCAGACAAGCAGCCUGAGCCAAGCAAGCAGCAAUCCAGCACUAGCCAGGCAGCCACAGCCGAGCAAGCAGCUAUCCAGCUCCAUCCAACAACGCAGCGGUGCUCUAACAAGCAGCUCCAGGAAGCAGCGAUCGAACUUGGUCCAACUCCAUCCAGCAAGCAGCGAUCCAACUUGGUCCAACUCCAUCUAGCAACACAGAUCCAGCUCCAUCCAGCAAUGCAGCAGUGCAGCCACGAGCAAGUAGCCCCAGCUGCAGCCACGGCCGAUUCAGCUCCACCCGUGAGCAGCGCAGGAGCGACGGUCUAGAUUCUAAUAUAAUUAACGAUUCAGAUUUCUUCUUAACGUUCGAAGCUUAUGUGACAUCUAAUAUGGAAAUUCUCCUAUUAAGUGGACAGUAAA